This 674-nucleotide unclassified non-coding RNA is filed under the name uncultured fungus. Its description in RNAcentral is "sequence contains ITS1, 5.8S rRNA gene, ITS2 and 28S rRNA gene". Lineage: Eukaryota; Fungi. The record is from RNAcentral.
CACCCGAUUUGAGGUCAAGGGUUCGUGGGGUCGAGGGAGCUUCCCGAGAAGGGAGACAUGCUCGAACAUUGUCUCGAUGCAAGGUCAAGACGGUUAGAAGCGGGUCCCAAAAGUGACAGAGCCAGAAACCAAGACAUGGAAACAUCUUAUCACACGUCGAGGAUCGGCAAAGAGGACCCUGCUAAUUCAUUUAAGAGGAGCUGGCCUUCAAAAGAGAGAGGUUCCAGCAAAGGCCUCCAAAGUCCAAGCCUGCCUUUGGUCUCCAGAAGAAACCAAGGAGGUUGAGGUUUUCACGACACUCAAACGGGUGUGCCCCUCGGAAUACCAAGGGGCGCAAGGUGCGUUCAAAGAUUCGAUGAUUCACUGAAUUCUGCAAUUCACAUUACGUAUCGCAUUUCGCUGCGUUCUUCAUCGAUGCGAGAGCCAAGAGAUCCGUUGUUGAAAGUUGUAUUGAUUGCGUGUUAGCGCAUAAAUGAGGUCAUUCUACACUUUUAAAAGGGGGGUUUGUGUGAAAACGCGAGCCCCCUCCGAGAUGAUCCCAAAGGGUGCCCACGCGGCGAUGCACAAAGGGUGAGAUGGAUUAUUAUGUGAGAGGACACACUCGGGCGUGCACGACUUUGAGUCAGCGACAGCCCUCACAUGCCCCUCACAUUUUGUACGAUAAUGAUCCUUCC